AGUGUUGUGUGUGGGUUCUCCGUGGCGGACGGGGCUACGAGUGGGCCCCGCUUUUGGCGCUGGUACCAGGAGCUCUGAGAGGAACGUGGGCGAGCUCGGAAGCUGCGCCAUGGAUCUCGGGUUUCCCAGGUUGGCCUCAAACUUUCUCUUAGCCGAGGAAGACCUUGAACUUCUGAUCCCGCUACCUAAACCCACCUCCAGAGUGCUGGGAUUAAGGGUGUGUGACUAUAUGCCCCCCCUUUUGUGAGUGUAUGUGUGUUUUUCUGGGGAAGGAACGUAGGGCUUUGUGGCAGUAGUCAAACAUUCUAUCUGAUUCUGAGUAUGUCUUGCCAGAUAAUGUUUAGAUCAACUCUCUGUUAUUUUCAACAUAAAUUGUGAGCAUUUGAUGUGUUGAAUUUGUAGAUCAAAAUGAUAACUGUCAUAAUUUUGGGCUUCUUCCCAAAACCAUGGAAAUCCCUCCACUUACUAAGUUCUUUGAUUGUUUUUAUAUUAGAAAUAUAUAAUUUUUGUGUACAGACGUUAAUAACAUUAAUAUGCAAAUAUGUCUCACUUUAUCUUUGCUCUAUAAGCUAUGUGGUGGUUUUAAUUUUACAUCCAAAUAUUCUUUUGUCGAUGUGCAUAC
This 622-nucleotide long non-coding RNA is filed under the name Mus pahari (shrew mouse). RNAcentral describes it as "lncRNA (MGP_PahariEiJ_G0004069.1)". Lineage: Eukaryota; Metazoa; Chordata; Mammalia; Rodentia; Muridae. The record is from RNAcentral.